This 445-nucleotide ribosomal RNA is filed under the name uncultured bacterium. RNAcentral describes it as "partial 16S ribosomal RNA". It matches the Rfam family "Bacterial small subunit ribosomal RNA", at positions 354 to 796 of the family's 1533-position model. The record is from RNAcentral.
GUGAGGAAUAUUGCGCAAUGGAGGCAACUCUGACGCAGCCAUGCCGCGUGCAGGAAGAAGGCGCUACGCGUUGUAAACUGCUUUUAACCGGGAAGAAACCCCAGGACGUGUCCUGGGUUGACGGUACCGGCGGAAUAAGCACCGGCUAACUUCGUGCCAGCAGCCGCGGUAAUACGAAGGGUGCAAGCGUUAUCCGGAUUCAUUGGGUUUAAAGGGUGCGUAGGCGGAGCGUUAAGUCAGUGGUGAAAUCCUGCAGCUUAACUGUAGACUUGCCAUUGAUACUGGCGCUCUUGAGUGCGCUUGAAGUGGGCGGAAUGUGCCGUGUAGCGGUGAAAUGCUUAGAUAUGGCACAGAACACCAAUUGCGAAGGCAGCUCACUAAGGCGAUACUGACGCUGAGGCACGAAAGCGUGGGGAUCGAACAGGAUUAGAAACCCCAGUAGUCC